GCCCGUGACCAAACCACCCCGAAUGAAACCAAUCUCAUCACAACUUAGAAGCUAAGCAAGAGUUGAGCCCGGACAGUGCUUGGAUGGGCAACCACCACGCAUAACACAGGUGCUGCAGGGU
RNAcentral lists this ribosomal RNA (121 nucleotides) under Petromyzon marinus (sea lamprey). Lineage: Eukaryota; Metazoa; Chordata; Hyperoartia; Petromyzontiformes; Petromyzontidae. The record is from RNAcentral.